RNAcentral lists this ribosomal RNA (497 nucleotides) under uncultured bacterium. RNAcentral's name for it is "partial 16S ribosomal RNA". It matches the Rfam family "Bacterial small subunit ribosomal RNA", at positions 28 to 507 of the family's 1533-position model. The record is from RNAcentral.
GAUGAACGCUGGCGGCGUGCCUAAUACAUGCAAGUCGAGCGAACAGACGAGGAGCUUGCUCCUCUGACGUUAGCGGCGGACGGGUGAGUAACACGUGGAUAACCUACCUAUAAGACUGGGAUAACUUCGGGAAACCGGAGCUAAUACCGGAUAAUAUAUUGAACCGCAUGGUUCAAUAGUGAAAGACGGUUUUGCUGUCUCUUAUAGAUGGAUCCGCGCCGCAUUAGCUAGUUGGUAAGGUAACGGCUUACCAAGGCAACGAUGCGUAGCCGACCUGAGAGAGUGAUCGGCCACACUGGAACUGAGACACGGUCCAGACUCCUACGGGAGGCAGCAGUAGGGAAUCGUCCGCAAUGGGCGGAAGCCUUACGGAGCAACGCCGCGUGAGUGAUGAAGGUCUUCGGAUCGUAAAACUCUGUUAUUAGGGAAGAACAAAUGUGUAAGUAACUAUGCACGUCUUGACGGUACCUAAUCAGAAAGCCACGGCUAACUACGUG